AAGGUAGAAGAUGAUGAGAUGGUGUCCUUCAUCCUCACCGGGCUAGAUUCAGAUUAUAAUCCCAUGGUCACCUCAGUCAUGGGAAGAUUAGAUCCAAUC
This 99-nucleotide small nucleolar RNA is filed under the name Setaria italica (foxtail millet). RNAcentral describes it as "Small nucleolar RNA Z247". It matches the Rfam family "Small nucleolar RNA Z247". From Rfam's summary of the family: Z247 is a member of the C/D class of snoRNA which contain the C (UGAUGA) and D (CUGA) box motifs. Most of the members of the box C/D family function in directing site-specific 2'-O-methylation of substrate RNAs. Lineage: Eukaryota; Viridiplantae; Streptophyta; Magnoliopsida; Poales; Poaceae. RNAcentral also lists the same sequence under 1 other name. The record is from Rfam by way of RNAcentral.